UACGUAGGGUGCAAGCGUUGCUCGGAAUCAUUGGGCGUAAAGCGCGUGUAGGCGGUUUACUAAGUCUGGUGUGAAAUCCCGGGGCUUAACUCCGGAAGUGCACUGGAUACUGGUAAACUAGAGGGUAAGAGAGGGAAGUGGAAUUCCUGGUGUAGGGGUGAAAUCCGUAGAUAUCAGGAGGAACAUCGGUGGCGAAGGCGGCUUCCUGGCUUACUACUGACGCUAAGACGCGAAAGCGUGGGGAGCAAACAGG
RNAcentral lists this ribosomal RNA (253 nucleotides) under uncultured bacterium. Its description in RNAcentral is "partial 16S ribosomal RNA". It matches the Rfam family "Bacterial small subunit ribosomal RNA", at positions 524 to 776 of the family's 1533-position model. The record is from RNAcentral.